Molecule: ribosomal RNA, 472 nt
Filed under: uncultured Phycisphaerae bacterium
Lineage: Bacteria; Pseudomonadati; Planctomycetota; Phycisphaerae
Description: bacterial SSU rRNA
Rfam family: Bacterial small subunit ribosomal RNA
Source: RNAcentral
CGUCACACAAGCGGUGGAGCAUGUGGAUUAAUUCGAAGCAACGCGCAGAACCUUACCUGGGUUUGACAUGCUUGGAUGCCGUUCCGAAACGGGAUUGGCUGCCUUCGGGUGAAACUUGCACAGGUGCUGCAUGGCUGUCGUCAGCUCGUGUCGUGAGAUGUCGGGUUAAGUCCUUUUAACGAGCGAAACCCUUACCAUUAGUUACCAUCGCGUUACGGCGGGGACUCUAAUGGGACUGCCGGUGUUAAACCGGAGGAAGGCGGGGAUGACGUCAAGUCCUCAUGGCCUUUAUGCCCAGGGCUUCACACGUGCUACAAUGGCCGUUACAGAGCGACGCAAUGCCGCGAGGCGGAGCAAAUCGCAAAAAACGGCCCCAGUUCAGAUUGCAGGCUGGCAACUCGCCUGCAUGAAGGCGGAAUCGCUAGUAAUCGCGUAUCAGCGAUGACGCGGUGAACUGUCGUUCCUGAGCCUU